Molecule: non-coding RNA, 84 nt
Organism: Xylaria venustula
Lineage: Eukaryota; Fungi; Ascomycota; Sordariomycetes; Xylariales; Xylariaceae
Source: the annotation of a GenBank genome assembly
UCUCGAUUGGUCUAGUGGUAAGGAUACCUGCUUGUCAAUCGACGCAAGUCGCAGGUGGCCGGGGUUCGAUUCCCCGAUCGAGAG